UUUGAUCAUGGCUCAAAGUGAACGCUGGCGGCGUGAAUCAUUUAUACAAGUCGAGCGAACCCGCAGGGGUUAGCGGCAAAAGGGUGAGUAACACGUAAAUAAUCUGCCUUUAAAACAAGGAUAGCAUCGUGAAAACGGGGGUAAUACUCGAUGUUAUCGGUGAUUCGUAUGGAUUACCGAUCAAAGAUGGGGACCGUAAGGCCUGUCACUUGGAGAUGAGUUUGCGUACCAUCAGCUAGUUGGUAGGGUAAUGGCCUACCAAGGCUAAAACGGUUAGCUGGUCUGAGAGGACAACCAGCCACUUUGGGACUGAAACACUGCCCAAACUCCUACGGGAGGCUGCAGUCAAUAAUUAUUUAGCAAUGAACAAAAGUCUGAUUAUGCGACGCCGCGUGCAGGAUGAAGGUCUUCGGAUUGUAAACUGCUUUUGUCAGGGGAGAAACC
RNAcentral lists this ribosomal RNA (444 nucleotides) under uncultured bacterium. Its description in RNAcentral is "bacterial SSU rRNA". It matches the Rfam family "Bacterial small subunit ribosomal RNA", at positions 12 to 452 of the family's 1533-position model. The record is from RNAcentral.